AAACCUUACUCAAAACCACUGAGUGCAAGCCCAAACCCUACAGAAUCAGUGGUCCCCAACCUUUUUUGGUACCAGGACCAGUUUCAUGGAAGACAUUGUUUCCAUCGACGGGUGGUGGGGCUUGGGGGGUUGGAGUUUAGGAGAUAAUGCAAGUUAUGGGAAGCAGCAGAUGAAGCUCUGCUUACCUGCCCCUCAACUCUUGCUCUGUGACCAGGUUUCUAACAGGCUGUGGCCAUGCCCAAGGGCUUGGGGACCCUUGUAUAGAAUAUCACCCUUUAAUUAGGAUGGUUCAUGGUCCCCUGUGAUGCGUAAAUAGCUUCUUGGAACUUUUAAUCUACAGAUGGAAGAACAGCCAGGAACCCUGCAGCCAGAGAUACAAAUAAUACAACUCCAGGAACUGUAAAAGCCAAGGAAAUGAAUUCUUCCCCAAAGCCUUCAGAUGAAUUGCAGCCCUGCCCACAUUCUCGCCUGAUACCCUGCUGCAUUCACUAUUGUCCAAAGUUGCCUGAAAUGGAGCUCUGACUUUUAGUUGUAACCACGAGAAACAUUUUCAUACUUGGAAAGAACAAGAGGAAGAGGGCAAAGUGAAUAUUUGACAAAGAAAGCUGCAAAUUCUCUACCUGAGAAUUUCGUGAGGAUACAUCUGUUAUGAUACCAUGUCAGGUUUUCAAGAUCUUUCUGUGUUGUUGGGUGUUGUCAUUAUAGACAUGCCUGAACUGGCUAAGUCCGCUCCUGCCCCUAAAAAGGGCUCUAAAAAAGCUGUGACCAAGGCCCAGAAGAAGGAGGCAAGAAGCGCAAGCACAGCCACAAGGAGAGCUACUCCGUGUACAUGUACAAGGUGCUGAAGCAAGCCCAUCCGGACACUGGCAUCUCAUCCAAGGCCAUGGGAAUCAUGAACUCCUUCGUCAAUGACAUUUUCGAGCGCAUUGCUGGCAAGGCAUCACGCCUGGCACAUUACAACAAGUGCUCGACUAUCACAUCCAGGGAGAUCCAGACCGCCAUGCACUUGCUGCUACCUGGGGAACUGGCCAAGCACGCCGUGUCCAAGGGCACUAAGGCUGUCACUAAAUAUACCAGCUCCAAGUAAAUAUGCCUAGCCACUGUUAACGGAGGAGUCAAUGGCACCCCACUCCAGUACUCUUGCCUGGAAAAUCCCAUGGACGGAGGGCCUGGUAGGCUGUAGUCCAUGGGGUCACUAAGAGUCGGACACAACUGACUUUUUUUUCACUUACAGGUUUUCAAGGGCUCUAGAUAUUGGACAUUUUUCUGAGGUUGUGGCAGGAACCAGAACACAAUGCUUUAUGAGCCGUUUUCAGAAAUACAGAGAAAGGAUUAUGAGCAUCUGUAUUUUUUGUGCAUUUAAUAGUCAGAAUGUAGAAUCUUACUGUGUGACUUAAUUUUUAUCUGAGCAUUUAUUCAUUUUCUUCUUUGAUGCACCUUCUCAUUUUUGUAAUUGCCUAUUCACUUAAUUCCCCAUUUCAUAAUUAAAUUUUCUCAUUUUUUGUGCACUUUACAAUUCUUUUCAUAUUCAAGUCAAUAAA
Bubalus bubalis (water buffalo) is the source of this 1541-nucleotide long non-coding RNA. RefSeq lists it as uncharacterized. The transcript has 4 exons. The record is from RefSeq and is a predicted model, not a curated record. NCBI's taxonomy places the organism in Eukaryota, Metazoa, Chordata, Mammalia, Artiodactyla, Bovidae.